AGUUGGUGGAGCGAUUUGUCUGGUUAAUUCCGAUAACGAGCGAGACCUCAGCUUACUAAUUAGUUAGGGGAAUCAAUGAUUCCAUCGUCACCUAACUUCUUAGAGGGACUAUCGGUGAGUAGCCGAUGGAAGUUUGAGGCAAUAACAGGU
RNAcentral lists this ribosomal RNA (150 nucleotides) under uncultured eukaryote. Its description in RNAcentral is "partial small subunit ribosomal RNA". It matches the Rfam family "Eukaryotic small subunit ribosomal RNA", at positions 1296 to 1461 of the family's 1831-position model. The record is from RNAcentral.